GAAAAAGGGGGGGCUGUGGUGGUGAACCCUGAAAUCAACAAAAAUUCAUCCAGAACGUGGAUGACUGAUGGACACCUGAAUAUAUCUAGGAGCGGCCAGCAGAGGGUUUCUGCAGAGGGCGGUAAAAAGAGGUCUAUGAUCAAACGCAUUUGGGUACUUUUAAUGGCUACCCUGUAACAAAGAGGACAGUUUAACCAGCAUAUGAAAAGUGUGGAUUAAUAUUCAGUUCGGGACAUUACAAGCAUUCCCCAUAUGAAUGCUUGCUACUAAAUAACAGGCCACCC
Pelobates cultripes (western spadefoot toad) is the source of this 284-nucleotide non-coding RNA. Lineage: Eukaryota; Metazoa; Chordata; Amphibia; Anura; Pelobatidae. The record is from the annotation of a GenBank genome assembly.